Molecule: long non-coding RNA, 706 nt
Organism: Salarias fasciatus (jewelled blenny)
Lineage: Eukaryota; Metazoa; Chordata; Actinopteri; Blenniiformes; Blenniidae
Exons: 2
Source: RefSeq, a predicted model, not a curated record
UGCACACUGCAAAGGCUGAACUCUCUUCCACUCAACGCUGAGCAGAGAGACACUAUGGAAAGAGGCCAGAGCCAAGACGAAAUCCCAACCUACUGUGGGUGGUCCAUCUUCACCUGUCUCUGCUGCUGUUGGCCUUUAGGAAUUGCUGCUCUGAUCUACUCCAACAAGGUGGACACGGCCAAUGCUUCUGGAGAUUUCCAAAAAGCUGCUGAUGCAUCAAGCACUGCCAAGACCCUGAACAUUAUGGGAAUAAUCUGUGGAAUCAUUCUUCUUAUUGUCCUUGCCUACCAAAUCUAUCAGAGGCAAGGUGCUGACCUAAAAAUCCAUUGAUUACCAAGCUUUUGUUUUUUCUAUCAUACACGGGAUUCGUAAAUGAAAGAAAAAGUCAGCAUGCUUCUCUUCACAAGUCUUUGUGUCAUUACUUUCUUCAGAUGAACAAAGCAAGAACCAUGAAAUGCCCGUGGUAUGACCUGGAAAAAAAAACAAAUAUAUGUAUGCACUGUUGCAUGAAGGCUGUGUGAAACUGUCACAUUCACUCUUAUUGUUUUGGUUUUGUGUUGCAAACGCAAAAUGAUGGAGCGCAGAUCUGGUGUGUAAAAAGUUAUAAAAAGAGAUUUUUGAAAAAAAUCUUAAUGAAAAAAAUCUUAUCACGAAAAAGCUCAUGUUAUAUGCUUUCUAACAAAAUAAAGCUUGUGCUUAAAAUUCA